RNAcentral lists this ribosomal RNA (1338 nucleotides) under Anadara cornea. Its description in RNAcentral is "16S ribosomal RNA". It matches the Rfam family "Bacterial large subunit ribosomal RNA", at positions 565 to 2823 of the family's 2925-position model. Lineage: Eukaryota; Metazoa; Mollusca; Bivalvia; Arcoida; Arcidae. The record is from RNAcentral.
UACAAAAUUAAUUUUUAUAACAUUAAAAUUUGAUGGUAGUAACCAGAAUUAUUUAGUACUAACGAAAUUGAAUUGGUGAAUUUAGUUAACCGAAAGGGGUAAUUAAUUUAGUGGGAAUAGUAUAUAGGUGUAGUACCUCUUGCAUAAGGGUCUAACAAGAAAAAAGUAUAUUAUUCUAUACUACCCCGAAGUCGGAAGAGCUACCAAAUUUGCCAGCUGAUUUUAGGCUACAGAGGUCAUAGUUGUAAUAUGUCUUAAGACUUUUUGGUAGAGGUGAAAUGCCUUUCGAAUUCGACGAUAUCUGGUUGGCUUAGAAAUAAAUUAAGUUUAGGGUUGAUGGAAAAUUUCAAUACUUAGUAUUCUCUGUAGAGCAGUGAAUAAUAUAAAAACGACGGAAGGAAUAAAUAAUUAUACCAAUUUUUAUGUAGGUCAAAAGCGGUCAUUCUAAUAAAAGAACGGAUUGGAAGCGCAAGUUUGGUUGAAUAGAAAAAUUUGUUUUUGAUUGGUCUUAAGGUCUAUGAGCUGGAGUAGCUGAACAAUAAGGCUAUUUUUAUAAUGUUUGAAUUAGUAGCUGAAGUUAUAGAUUUAAUAAGGAAAAGUAAAUAUAUAAAUGAAAAACUAAAUUAAGGAACUCGGCAAAAACUUCCUCCGACUGUUUAUCAAAAACAUAGCGUCUAGAAUAGGAUUAGAGGUGUUGUCUGCCCGGUGGAAACCCUAAACGGCGGCCUUAGCGUGAUGGUCUUAAGGUAGCAUGUAAGUUCCUGAGUAAUUUUCUGGUGGUAUGAAUGGGAGUACGAGGGGAAAACUGUCUUGAUUUAGUUACAGUGAAUUUACCUUGGAGGUGAAAAGGCCUUCAUAUAAUAAAUAGACGAUAAGACCCCAUGAAAUUUUAAUCUUUGCUAUGAGUUUGAUUUUUUGUUAUUGGCUAAUUUGUUUGGAUUUUGGUUGGGGCAACUCGGGAGCAAACAAACCUCCUGGAAUAAAAUUAUAAACCAACAAGUGUUGAACCUCCUUCAUGCGUGGUUAUCGGAAAAAAUUACUCUGGGGAUAACAGCGUUAUCUUCCCGGAGAGGGCGUAUUGGUGGGAAGGAUUACGACCUCGAUGUUGAAUGUGGCUAUCCUUAGGGCUUGUAAGGGGCAUAAAGGGUUCGGACUGUUCGUCCAUUAAAAGCCAACCUGAUUUGAGUUAAGAACGGCGUGAGCUAGUUCGGUUUCUAUCUUUUAUUAUAUUAAUUUUGUCCAUUUUUGUACGAAAGGACUUAGAAGGCAGACAUUGUUGGUGUGGUAUGAAUUUGCUGUAAUAGGAAAAAGUUAUAAAUUUAAGAUUGUUUUUGAUUA